Molecule: ribosomal RNA, 465 nt
Filed under: uncultured bacterium
Lineage: Bacteria
Description: partial 16S ribosomal RNA
Rfam family: Bacterial small subunit ribosomal RNA
Source: RNAcentral
GACGAACGCUGGCGGCGUGCUUAACACAUGCAAGUCGAACGGAAAGGCCCUGCUUGCAGGGUACUCGAGUGGCGAACGGGUGAGUAACACGUGGGUGAUCUGCCCUGCACUUCGGGAUAAGCCUGGGAAACUGGGUCUAAUACCGGAUAGGAGCCAUUUUUAGUGUGAUGGUUGGAAAGUUUUUUCGGUGUAGGAUGAGCUCGCGGCCUAUCAGCUUGUUGGUGGGGUAAUGGCCUACCAAGGCGGCGACGGGUAGCCGGCCUGAGAGGGUGGAUGGCCACAUUGGGACUGAGAUACGGCCCAGACUCCUACGGGAGGCAGCAGUGGGGAAUAUUGCACAAUGGGCGCAAGCCUGAUGCAGCGACGCCGCGUGGGGGAUGACGGCCUUCGGGUUGUAAACUCCUUUCGCUAGGGACGAAGCUUUUUGUGACGGUACCUAGAGAAGAAGCACCGGCUAACUACGUG